AAGGAGCUCACAGUCUAUUGAGUUGCCUUUCUGACUGUCCCACUAGAUUAUGAGCUCCUGGA
This 62-nucleotide microRNA precursor is filed under the name Otolemur garnettii (small-eared galago). Its description in RNAcentral is "microRNA oga-mir-28a precursor". Its record names the gene oga-mir-28a. Lineage: Eukaryota; Metazoa; Chordata; Mammalia; Primates; Galagidae. The record is from miRBase by way of RNAcentral.